GCGAAAGUGGCGGAAUUGGUAGACGCACCAGAUUUAGGUUCUGGCGCCGCGAGGCGUGAGAGUUCGAGUCUCUCCUUUCGCACCA
Molecule: transfer RNA, 85 nt
Filed under: Betaproteobacteria bacterium SG8_40
Lineage: Bacteria; Pseudomonadati; Pseudomonadota; Betaproteobacteria
Also listed under: 4 other names
Description: tRNA-Leu
Rfam family: tRNA
About the family: Transfer RNA (tRNA) molecules are approximately 80 nucleotides in length. Their secondary structure includes four short double-helical elements and three loops (D, anti-codon, and T loops). Further hydrogen bonds mediate the characteristic L-shaped molecular structure. tRNAs have two regions of fundamental functional importance: the anti-codon, which is responsible for specific mRNA codon recognition, and the 3' end, to which the tRNAs corresponding amino acid is attached (by aminoacyl-tRNA synthetases). tRNAs cope with the degeneracy of the genetic code in two manners: having more than one tRNA (with a specific anti-codon) for a particular amino acid; and 'wobble' base-pairing, i.e. permitting non-standard base-pairing at the 3rd anti-codon position.
Source: RNAcentral